RNAcentral lists this RNase P RNA (372 nucleotides) under Planctomycetota bacterium. RNAcentral describes it as "Planctomycetes bacterium (activated sludge metagenome) RNase P RNA component class A". It matches the Rfam family "Bacterial RNase P class A". From Rfam's summary of the family: Ribonuclease P (RNase P) is a ubiquitous endoribonuclease, found in archaea, bacteria and eukarya as well as chloroplasts and mitochondria. Lineage: Bacteria; Pseudomonadati; Planctomycetota. The record is from RNAcentral.
CCUGGUCUCCGGACGAUCGCCGGCGGCUUUUUGCCGCGGGAGGAAAGUCCGGGCUCCGCAGGGCGAGGUGGUGGGUAACGCCCACCGUUCGCGAGAACAGGGAAAGUGCCACAGAGAACAGACCGCCGGACGGCCAGCACGCUGGCGACGGCAAGGGUGAAACGGCGAGGUAAGAGCUCACCGCGGACCGGUGGACCGGUCCGGCACGGCAAACCCCACCUGGAGGAAGACCGAAUAGGAGGAUCGCGCGGCCCGCGCCGAGAUCCUCGGGUAGGUCGUUGCAGGUCGCCCGCGAGGGCGACCCUAGAGAAAUGAUCGUCACCGCCGCUUCCUGCGGCGGCACCAGAACCCGGCUUACGGAGACCAGGCACU